CUCAGGACUCAGAAGACGAGUAACAAGAUAAACUUGCUGACCAGAAAAGGACCUGAUUGAGACCAUAAUGACUCCUAUUCUGAAGCUCAUACUGGCUUUGGCAACAGUUUUGGGGGUUGUAUUAACCACCAUAAACUCCACCUCCCAUAAGGGACGGAAAAGUGGGAAUGAGAAACAUGUUGACAAUUCUGCACAAAAAAAGGAACAUUACAAAAACGCCGCCAGGAAGGCACUAGACGCCAUUGGUUCUAAUCGCACGCUGUCUACUUCUAACAAGCGAGCGAAACAGGGCCAGCAUGUCUUCAACAAAGGACUCCUUAAGUUUCACAGCAGUGUUCUGGAGGUCCUGCUGAAAGAUGUGAGGGGCUACGAUAAGCUGGAGAACAUGGUGAAGGACCUCACGAUCCCCCUUGGCCAAACUGAACAAAAAGCAAUUAGUACAAUGGUGGCCCACUUCAGGUCAGUGUGUGUGUGUGUGUGUGUUUGUGUGUGUGUGUGUGUGCAGGUGGGAUGAGUGCUACAGUGUGUA
Long non-coding RNA from Ctenopharyngodon idella (grass carp), 529 nucleotides. RefSeq lists it as uncharacterized. The record is from RefSeq and is a predicted model, not a curated record. The transcript is spliced from 3 exons. Lineage: Eukaryota; Metazoa; Chordata; Actinopteri; Cypriniformes; Xenocyprididae.